CUACGGGAGGCACCAGUGGGGAAUAUUGGGCAAUGGGCGCAAGCCUGACCCAGCAACGCCGCGUGAGGGAAGAAGGUUUUCGGAUUGUAAACCUCUGUCCUUGGGGACGAAGAAGUGACGGUACCCAAGGAGGAAGCUCCGGCUAACUACGUGCCAGCAGCCGCGGUAAUACGUAGGGAGCAAGCGUUGUCCGGAAUUACUGGGCGUAAAGGGUGCGUAGGCGGCAUAUUAAGUCAGGUGUGAAAUACUCGGGCUCAACCCGGGGGCUGCAUUUGAAACUGAUAUGCUUGAGUGUGAGAGAGGAAAGUGGAAUUCCUAGUGUAGGGGUGGAAUGCGUAGAUAUUAGGAGGAACACCAGUGGCGAAGGCGACUUUCUGGCUCAUAACUGACGCUGAGACACGAAAGCGUGGGGAGCAAACAGGAUUAGAUACCCCCGUAGUC
RNAcentral lists this ribosomal RNA (441 nucleotides) under uncultured bacterium. Its description in RNAcentral is "partial 16S ribosomal RNA". It matches the Rfam family "Bacterial small subunit ribosomal RNA", at positions 339 to 795 of the family's 1533-position model. The record is from RNAcentral.